Molecule: ribosomal RNA, 254 nt
Filed under: uncultured bacterium
Lineage: Bacteria
Description: partial 16S ribosomal RNA
Rfam family: Bacterial small subunit ribosomal RNA
Source: RNAcentral
UACGUAGGGGGCAAGCGUUGUCCGGAUUUAUUGGGCGUAAAGAGCGUGUAGGCGGUCAGGUAGGUCCGUUGUGAAAACUCGAGGCUCAACCUCGAGACGCCGAUGGAAACCAUCUGACUAGAGUCCGGAAGAGGAGAGUGGAAUUCCUGGUGUAGCGGUGAAAUGCGCAGAUAUCAGGAAGAACACCCGUGGCUAAGGCGGCUCUCUAGUACGGUACUGACGCUGAGACGCGAAAGCGUGGGGAGCGAACAGGG